Molecule: ribosomal RNA, 497 nt
Filed under: uncultured bacterium
Lineage: Bacteria
Description: partial 16S ribosomal RNA
Rfam family: Bacterial small subunit ribosomal RNA
Source: RNAcentral
GAUGAACGCUGGCGGCGUGCCUAAUACAUGCAAGUCGAGCGAACGGACGAGAAGCUUGCUUCUCUGAUGUUAGCGGCGGACGGGUGAGUAACACGUGGAUAACCUACCUAUAAUACUGGGAUAACUUCGGGAAACCGGAGCUAAUACCGGAUAAUAUUUUGAACCGCAUGGUUCAAAAGUGAAAGACGGUCUUGCUGUCACUUAUAGAUGGAUCCGCGCUGCAUUAGCUAGUUGGUAAGGUAACGGCUUACCAAGGCAACGAUGCAUAGCCGACCUGAGAGGGUGAUCGGCCACACUGGAACUGAGACGCGGUCCAGACUCCUACGGGAGGCAGCAGUAGGGAAUCUUCCGCAAUGGGCGAAAGCCUGACGGAGCAACGCCGCGUGAGUGAUGAAGGUCUUCGGAUCGUAAAACUCUGUUAUUAGGGAAGAACAUAUGUGUAAGUAACUGUGCACAUCUUGACGGUACCUAAUCAGAAAGCCACGGCUAACUACGUG